UACGGGGGGGGGCAAGCGUUGUUCGGAAUUACUGGGCGUAAAGGGCUCGUAGGCGGCCCACUAAGUCCGACGUGAAAUCCCCAGGCUUAACUUGGGAACUGCGUCGGAUACUGGUGGGCUUGAAUCCGGGAGAGGGAUGCGGAAUUCCAGGUGUAGCGGUGAAAUGCGUAGAUAUCUGGAGGAACACCGGUGGCGAAGGCGGCAUCCUGGACCGGCAUUGACGCUGAGUGAGCGAAAGCCAGGGGAGCAAACGGG
This 255-nucleotide ribosomal RNA is filed under the name uncultured bacterium. Its description in RNAcentral is "partial 16S ribosomal RNA". It matches the Rfam family "Bacterial small subunit ribosomal RNA", at positions 524 to 776 of the family's 1533-position model. The record is from RNAcentral.